UACGAAGGGUGCUAGCGUUGUUCGGAAUUACUGGGCGUAAAGCGCGCGUAGGCUGUUUGACAAGUCAGAGGUGAAAGCCCUGGGCCCAACCCAGGAAUUGCCUUUGAAACUGUCAGACUAGAGUGUCGGAGGGGAUAGCGGAAUUGCUAAUGUAGAGGUGAAAUUCGUAGAUAUUAGCAGGAACACCGGUGGCGAAGACGGCUAUCUGGACGACAACUGACGCUGAGGCGCGAAAGCACGGGGAUCAAACAGG
This 253-nucleotide ribosomal RNA is filed under the name uncultured bacterium. Its description in RNAcentral is "partial 16S ribosomal RNA". It matches the Rfam family "Bacterial small subunit ribosomal RNA", at positions 524 to 776 of the family's 1533-position model. The record is from RNAcentral.